CCUACGGGAGGCAGCAGUAGGGAAUCUUCCACAAUGGACGAAAGUCUGAUGGAGCAACGCCGCGUGAGUGAUGAAGGUUUUCGGAUCGUAAAACUCUGUUGUAAGGGAAGAACAAGUACGAGAGGUAAUGCUCGUACCUUGACGGUACCUUGCGAGAAAGCCACGGCUAACUACGUGCCAGCAGCCGCGGUAAUACGUAGGUGGCAAGCGUUGUCCGGAAUUAUUGGGCGUAAAGCGCGCGCAGGCGGCCUUUUAAGUCUGAUGUGAAAGCCCCCGGCUCAACCGGGGAGGGUCAUUGGAAACUGGAAGGCUUGAGUACAGAAGAGAAGAGUGGAAUUCCAUGUGUAGCGGUGAAAUGCGUAGAGAUGUGGAGGAACACCAGUGGCGAAGGCGACUCUUUGGUCUGUAACUGACGCUGAGGCGCGAAAGCGUGGGGAGCAAACAGGAUUAGAUACCCUGGUAGUCCACGCCGUAAACGAUGAGUGCUAGGUGUUGGGGGGUUUCCGCCCCUCAGUGCUGAAGCUAACGCAUUAAGCACUCCGCCUGGGGAGUACGGCCGCAAGGCUGAAACUCAAAUGAAUUGACGG
Molecule: ribosomal RNA, 587 nt
Filed under: uncultured bacterium
Lineage: Bacteria
Description: bacterial SSU rRNA
Rfam family: Bacterial small subunit ribosomal RNA
Source: RNAcentral